GCAAUGGGCGAAAGCCUGACGGAGCAAUACCGCGUGAGGGAGGAAGGCUCUUGGGUUGUAAACCUCUUUUCUCAGGGAAGAAAAAAAUGACGGUACCUGAGGAAUAAGCAUCGGCUAACUCCGUGCCAGCAGCCGCGGUAAUACGGAGGAUGCAAGCGUUAUCCGGAAUGAUUGGGCGUAAAGGGUCCGCAGGUGGCUAUGUAAGUCUGCUGUUAAAGAAUGAGGCUUAACCUCAUCAGAGCAGUGGAAACUACACAGCUAGAGUGCGUUCGGGGUAGAGGGAAUUCCUGGUGUAGCGGUGAAAUGCGUAGAUAUCAGGAAGAACACCAGUGGCGAAAGCGCUCUACUAGGCCGCAACUGACACUGAGGGACGAAAGCUAGGGGAGCGAAAGGGAUUAGAUA
This 402-nucleotide ribosomal RNA is filed under the name uncultured cyanobacterium. RNAcentral describes it as "bacterial SSU rRNA". It matches the Rfam family "Bacterial small subunit ribosomal RNA", at positions 368 to 784 of the family's 1533-position model. The record is from RNAcentral. Lineage: Bacteria; Bacillati; Cyanobacteriota.